Molecule: ribosomal RNA, 419 nt
Filed under: uncultured bacterium
Lineage: Bacteria
Description: bacterial SSU rRNA
Rfam family: Bacterial small subunit ribosomal RNA
Source: RNAcentral
GGAAUAUUGGUCAAUGGACGGAAGUCUGAACCAGCCAUGCCGCGUGCGGGAAGACGGCCCUAUGGGUUGUAAACCGCUUUUCCCCGGGAGUAAUAAGGGCCGUGCGCGGUCCGAUGAGAGUACCGGGGGAAUAAGCAUCGGCUAACUCCGUGCCAGCAGCCGCGGUAAUACGGAGGAUGCAAGCGUUAUCCGGAUUUAUUGGGUUUAAAGGGUGCGUAGGCGGACCGUUAAGUCAGCGGUGAAAUGUACCGGCUCAACCGGGGAGCUGCCGUUGAUACUGGCGGACUAGGGUCCAAACGGCGCCGGCGGAAUAUGUAAUGUAGCGGUGAAAUGCAUAGAUAUUACAUAGAACACCGAUCGCGAAGGCAGCUGGCGAGGAUGGCACUGACGCUGAGGCACGAAGGCGUGGGGAUCGAACA